RNAcentral lists this ribosomal RNA (468 nucleotides) under uncultured bacterium. Its description in RNAcentral is "partial 16S ribosomal RNA". It matches the Rfam family "Bacterial small subunit ribosomal RNA", at positions 28 to 507 of the family's 1533-position model. The record is from RNAcentral.
GACGAACGCUGGCGGCGUGCUUAACACAUGCAAGUCGAACGGAAAGGCCCCGCUUUUGUGGGGUGCUCGAGUGGCGAACGGGUGAGUAACACGUGAGUAACCUGCCCUUGACUUUGGGAUAACUUCAGGAAACUGGGGCUAAUACCGGAUAGGAGCUCCUGCUGCACGGUGGGGGUUGGAAAGUUUCGGCGGUCGGGGAUGGACUCGCGGCUUAUCAGCUUGUUGGUGGGGUAGUGGCUUACCAAGGCUUUGACGGGUAGCCGGCCUGAGAGGGUGACCGGCCACAUUGGGACUGAGAUGCGGCCCAGACUCCUACGGGAGGCAGCAGUGGGGAAUAUUGCACAAUGGGCGGAAGCCUGAUGCAGCAACGCCGCGUGCGGGAUGACGGCCUUCGGGUUGUAAACCGCUUUCGCCUGUGACGAAGCGUGAGUGACGGUAAUGGGUAAAGAAGCACCGGCUAACUACGUG